AACGAACGCUGGCGGCAGGCUUAACACAUGCAAGUCGAGCGCCCCGCAAGGGGAGCGGCAGACGGGUGAGUAACACGUGGGAACCUUCCUAGAGGUACGGAACAACUCAGGGAAACUUGAGCUAAUACCGUAUACGCUCUUGCGAGGAAAGAUUUAUCGCCUUUAGACGGGCCCGCGUCGGAUUAGCUAGUUGGUGGGGUAACGGCCUACCAAGGCGACGAUCCGUAGCUGGUCUGAGAGGAUGAUCAGCCACACUGGGACUGAGACACGGCCCAGACUCCUACGGGAGGCAGCAGUGGGGAAUCUUGGACAAUGGGCGCAAGCCUGAUCCAGCCAUGCCGCGUGAGUGAGGAAAGCCUUCGGGUUGUAAAGCUCUUUUGCCAGGGACGAUAAUGACGGUACCUGGAGAAUAAGCCCCGGCAAACUUCGUGCCAGCAGCCGCCGUAA
RNAcentral lists this ribosomal RNA (447 nucleotides) under uncultured bacterium. Its description in RNAcentral is "partial 16S ribosomal RNA". It matches the Rfam family "Bacterial small subunit ribosomal RNA", at positions 29 to 523 of the family's 1533-position model. The record is from RNAcentral.